CGCGAGUGGCGGACGGGUGAGUAACGCGUGGGCAACCUGCCCUGUACUGGGGGAUAACACCUGGAAACAGGUGCUAAUACCGCAUAAGCGCGCCGCGCCGCAUGGCGGGGCGCGGAAAACCCCGGUGGUACAGGAUGGGCCCGCGUCUGAUUAGCUGGUUGGCAGGGUAACGGCCUACCAAGGCGACGAUCAGUAGCCGGCCUGAGAGGGUGGACGGCCACACUGGGACUGAGACACGGCCCAGACUCCUACGGAAGGCAGCAG
Molecule: ribosomal RNA, 264 nt
Filed under: uncultured bacterium
Lineage: Bacteria
Description: partial 16S ribosomal RNA
Rfam family: Bacterial small subunit ribosomal RNA
Source: RNAcentral